GAUGAAGAACGCAGCGAAAUGCGAUAAGUAAUGUGAAUUGCAGAAUUCAGUGAAUCAUCGAAUCUUUGAACGCACCUUGCGCUCCUUGGUAUUCCGAGGAGCAUGCCUGUUUGAGUGUCAUGAAAACCCUCAACCUUAGAUUGGUUAAAACCUUUCUUUGGCUUGGAUUUGGACGUUUGCCGAUGAUAAGUCGGCUCGUCUUAAAAGUAAUAGCUGGAUCUGUCUCGCGACAUGGUUUGACUUGGCGUAAUAAGUAUUUCGCUAAGGACAUCUUCGGAUGGCCGCGUUGCAAGACUAAAGACCGCUUUCUAAUUCAUUGAUCUUCGGAUUAAUAUUCUUGACAUCUGGCCUCAAAUCAGGUAGGACUACCCGCUGAACUUAAGCAUAUCAAUAAGCGGAGGA
RNAcentral lists this unclassified non-coding RNA (402 nucleotides) under soil metagenome. RNAcentral describes it as "partial contains 5.8S ribosomal RNA, internal transcribed spacer 2, and large subunit ribosomal RNA". The stretch from base 1 to 120 matches the Rfam family "5.8S ribosomal RNA", at positions 35 to 154 of the family's 154-position model. The record is from RNAcentral.